AGUCGACGAUGAGCCUUUCGGGGUGGAUUAGUGGCGAACGGGUGAGUAACACGUGGGCAAUCUGCCCUUCACUCUGGGACAAGCCCUGGAAACGGGGUCUAAUACCGGAUAACACCUUCCACCGCAUGGUGGGGGGUUGAAAGCUCCGGCGGUGAAGGAUGAGCCCGCGGCCUAUCAGCUUGUUGGUGGGGUGAUGGCCUACCAAGGCGACGACGGGUAGCCGGCCUGAGAGGGCGACCGGCCACACUGGGACUGAGACACGGCCCAGACUCCUACGGGAGGCAGCAGUGGGGAAUAUUGCACAAUGGGCGAAAGCCUGAUGCAGCGACGCCGCGUGAGGGAUGACGGCCUUCGGGUUGUAAACCUCUUUCAGCAGGGAAGAAGCGAAAGUGACGGUACCUGCAGAAGAAGCGCCGGCUAACUACGUGCCAGCAGCCGCGGUAAUACGUAGGGCGCAAGCGUUGUCCGGAAUUAUUGGGCGUAAAGAGCUCGUAGGCGGCUUGUCGCGUCGGAUGUGAAAGCCCGGGGCUUAACCCCGGGUCUGCAUUCGAUACGGGCAGGCUAGAGUGUGGUAGGGGAGAUCGGAAUUCCUGGUGUAGCGGUGAAAUGCGCAGAUAUCAGGAGGAACACCGGUGGCGAAGCGGAUCUCUGGGCCAUUACUGACGCUGAGGAGCGAAAGCGUGGGGAGCGAACAGGAUUAGAUACCCUGGUAGUCCACGCCGUAAACGUUGGGAACUAGGUGUUGGCGACAUUCCACGUCGUCGGUGCCGCAGCUAAC
This 778-nucleotide ribosomal RNA is filed under the name Streptomyces sp. RNAcentral describes it as "bacterial SSU rRNA". It matches the Rfam family "Bacterial small subunit ribosomal RNA", at positions 60 to 856 of the family's 1533-position model. Lineage: Bacteria; Bacillati; Actinomycetota; Actinomycetes; Kitasatosporales; Streptomycetaceae. The record is from RNAcentral.